RNAcentral lists this unclassified non-coding RNA (480 nucleotides) under Hevea brasiliensis (rubber tree). The record is from RNAcentral. Lineage: Eukaryota; Viridiplantae; Streptophyta; Magnoliopsida; Malpighiales; Euphorbiaceae.
GGAGGUUAGGCUUGUUUCAUAAGGUAGUGCACUUCCUUAUUUCUAUCCAUCCAGCAAUUAAUGGAAUGAAAAUUUAUAUUAGGCUGACAUUGAAUUAACAUUAUCACCACAAGAAUAUUUCGCAGUUUUCCAUUUAGCAUUCUCUUUACUGAGAAAUAUUGGGCUUAAGUUUUUGGUCUAAUUAUGCCGGGUUUGCUCAAACAUUCUUUGGAGUAGUUCCUCUAGCAACAAAAAUUGCCCAUUAUCUCCUGUAACAUGGCAUCCUUUUAAAAUAAAUCUGUAGGGGAAUUAGGUCUAGUUUGGCCAAAUAACUGAGGAUAUGGGGACCUAAACUAUGAAGAGUUUUGUGGGUUUCUCCUGUAGUUCCAGUGUAUCUCUUAUAUUUCAUUAGUUUCUCUUUUGGUUACUGUUCAUAUGCAUUCUAUGGCGAAUCAGAAUUGAUGGGCCUUUCUGUGUAGUGCAGGCUGCUUAUAACAUUGA